GAUAGAUACAACUGUAUACAUAUCUACAUCCUUUGAUUAACUUCUUCAACUAUUUCUCAUAUUGUUUGCAUGAAGAAGUUUUGAGUUCUGUGAACAGUCGAUCAGGUGUAUGUUUAUCGUGCAUCUAUUUCGGUAACAUUAUUUUGUCGAUCCGAUGAAGUAAGAUUGAUAUUGCUGAAUUUGGCCCGAAUGAAUUUGCGUAGUUGUAAAGUAUACGGCGUCCAUACAGUACUGUACAUUUUUUUGCAUAAAUGUCUUCCCAAACUAUCCAAGAAUGUGUCCCUGAAAUUUCAGACGCAAAUUCGGAAUAUUUUCGGAGUUACAGAAGAAAUAGUGAGCAAGCGUCGAGCAGGUAUACGAGCGGUUUUUUGAAGUUUUUUGAAGAGUCUGAACCAGUUUUUUGAAGUUUUGAACUAGUUUUUUGAAGAGUCUGAAGGGCAACUCUAUGGACCAGGAAUCGCUGAAUAGCAUAUCAAUGCGAUGGAAAUUGCGACCUGCACCUUUCCCGCCGCACGACAAAUGCAUACUCGAGACGCCUCGGUGAAAUGCUUGUACCAGGCAUAAUAUGACAUGUAUCCUAAUGAAAAAAUUCGAGAAGACUGUUGAAAUACAUAACAAUAAACCCUG
RNAcentral lists this long non-coding RNA (627 nucleotides) under Neodiprion lecontei (redheaded pine sawfly). RNAcentral describes it as "uncharacterized LOC124293872". Lineage: Eukaryota; Metazoa; Arthropoda; Insecta; Hymenoptera; Diprionidae. The record is from RNAcentral.